GGCAGAGUGCCUGCCAGGGAACAGCCAUUUUAAGAGGGGCGGUUUACUUGGAGGGAUUAAAGUGCUGAGCCUGAGGUCUAAGUGCAGAGGCUUGGACAAGCAAGACAGACCAGUAACCGGGCAUGGAGAGAAACGGUUAAGUUUGAAAAAAGGCAGAGAACAGAUGAAAUUCAUGGGUUCAUAACCAAAGGAUGUUCCACUAACACCAGCAGCACGAAUGCAGAAAUGGGCUCUGUUUCUUGGAGGACACAAUAAUAAGUUCAAACUCAAGAGGACAAAUAAUGAUGGAAAUACUGAUGGAUUGCCUCAUUAACCCUUCUAAAAGGAAGUACCUGAAAAAUUUACCGAAGAGGACACUCCUCUUGACGUAUUCUCCCAAAUGCAAAUUCAAGGUAUCCCUAUUACGACAGAUUUGAUUCAAAGGGAAACCAAAUAAGAUCUCACACUGUCACAGGUCUGCCUGACUACCCAAAAUGUCCAGAAUGUGCAGCAGACACUCUGGGUUUCACCAUUUUUACUAGGGCCAGGAUGAACUUGCCCUUGAUGGAGGUUGUUUUACGUAGGGUUUGAGAGGAGUUGUGCCAUUCAAGCUGAGAGCUAAAGUGUUGGAGGAGCUACAUGCCGGUUAUCUAGGCUUGGUCAAAAUGAAAGCAUUGGCUCGAAGCUUUGUCUGGUGGCCUGAUAUAGAUCAGCUGUUUGAGCAGCUUGCCAUACACUAUUUGGAUGCCAGCACAUCCAGAAGAUGCCAAGAACAGUGCCUCUCCAUCCCUCGGAAUGACCUGCUUUUGCCUCGGCAGAGGAUUCAUGUGAAUUUUACUACCCCACUCAAAGGAAUAAAGUUCAUGGUAGUAGUUGAUGCAGCCAUAAGGUGGUCAGUAGUGUUCCCAAUAGCCUCCACUAUAGCCUCACACACUGUUGAUGUACUGAGAGGACCCUUCUCAAGGACCAGUGUACCAGAAGUGUGCUGUUUUCCCUAUGUCUCUAUAACUUUGGGAGAUAGCAUGAGUGAAUCCUGAAAUUAAUGGGAAAAGAUAUCUAAAGAGGCAGGCUUCAAUGGUGGUUAAUUUAGUACAGUCAAGUCUUUUGCAAAUAUUUAGUUGUCUUUCUUGAUUUAUUCAUGAGUUAACGGUGAACUUUAUGAGAUUGAUACAUCUACAUCUCUGUCUCAGCUGAAUCAGGUCCACAACUCCAUGCUUAAAUAUGUGAACUACAAAAGAAUGAGUAAUCCCUCCAGCUCCAGCCCAA
Long non-coding RNA from Hypanus sabinus (Atlantic stingray), 1245 nucleotides. RefSeq lists it as uncharacterized. Lineage: Eukaryota; Metazoa; Chordata; Chondrichthyes; Myliobatiformes; Dasyatidae. The record is from RefSeq and is a predicted model, not a curated record. The transcript is spliced from 3 exons.